ACAUGCUUCUUUAUAUCCCCAUAUGGAUUACGCUGCUAUGGAAUGUAAGGAAGUGUGUGG
Molecule: microRNA precursor, 60 nt
Filed under: Ornithorhynchus anatinus (platypus)
Lineage: Eukaryota; Metazoa; Chordata; Mammalia; Monotremata; Ornithorhynchidae
Description: Oan-Mir-1-P2_pre stem-loop
Rfam family: mir-1 microRNA precursor family
About the family: This family represents the microRNA (miRNA) mir-1 family. miRNAs are transcribed as ~70nt precursors (modelled here) and subsequently processed by the Dicer enzyme to give a ~22nt product. In this case the mature sequence comes from the 3' arm of the precursor.
Source: RNAcentral